GUUAUAUGGUCAAGUGAAGAAGCGCAUACGGUGGAUGCCUUGGCAGUCAGAGGCGAUGAAAGACGUUGUAGCCUGCGAUAAGCUUUGGGGAGUCGGCAAACAGACUGUGAUCCAGAGAUCUCUGAAUGGGGGAACCCACCUAGCAUAAGCUGGGUAUCAUGCACUGAAUACAUAGGUGCAUGAGGCGAACCAGGGGAACUGAAACAUCUAAGUACCCUGAGGAAAAGAAAUCAACCGAGAUUCCCUUAGUAGUGGCGAGCGAACGGGGACUAGCCCUUAAGUUGAUUUGAGAUUAGUGGAAGGCUCUGGAAAGUGCCGCCGUAGUGGGUGAUAGCCCCGUACACGAAAAUCUCUUAUCAAUGAAAUCGAGUAGGACGGAGCACGAGAAACUUUGUCUGAAUAUGGGGGGACCAUCCUCCAAGGCUAAAUACUACUGACUGACCGAUAGUGAACCAGUACCGUGAGGGAAAGGCGAAAAGAACCCCGGAGAGGGGAGUGAAAUAG
Molecule: ribosomal RNA, 504 nt
Filed under: Pseudomonas sp. PA27(2017)
Lineage: Bacteria; Pseudomonadati; Pseudomonadota; Gammaproteobacteria; Pseudomonadales; Pseudomonadaceae
Description: bacterial LSU rRNA
Rfam family: Bacterial large subunit ribosomal RNA
Source: RNAcentral